RNAcentral lists this ribosomal RNA (253 nucleotides) under uncultured bacterium. RNAcentral's name for it is "partial 16S ribosomal RNA". It matches the Rfam family "Bacterial small subunit ribosomal RNA", at positions 524 to 776 of the family's 1533-position model. The record is from RNAcentral.
UACGUAGGGGGCAAGCGUUGUCCGGAAUCAUUGGGCGUAAAGAGCGUGUAGGCGGUUCGGUAAGUCGGCUGUGAAAGUCCAGGGCUCAACCCUGGGAUGCCGGUCGAUACUGCCGGACUAGAGUUCGGAAGAGGCGAGUGGAAUUCCCGGUGUAGCGGUGAAAUGCGCAGAUAUCGGGAGGAACACCUAUGGCGAAGGCAGCUCGCUGGGACGUUACUGACGCUGAGACGCGAAAGCGUGGGUAGCAAACAGG